UCCUGAGAGACAACAACACUGAAGAAGUUUUGGAAGAAGUUCUCAGAGAGAUAAGAAGAAUAUUAUGAGAGAAAAUCAUCCCACCAUUAAGGAAAGUUAUCCUACCAAUAAAGGAAAAAACAACUUGGCCACUUAUUAAGGAUAAAACAAAGUCAUCCUGCCCUUGCUUCUGAAUCAUAUGUGUCCUCGCCAACACCUGAGGCAGUGAAAAAAGAUGAAGAAAUGACAGUAUCUGGUCUCAGUGUUUCUCACUACAUUGUUGUACAGAUAUUUAGUAUCUCAGAUACAGCAUUAACUCUUCAUCGUCCUUGUGCUGCUUUGAUAACAGCUGUGCUCGGAAACCCCACCAACGUGCCUGUUAUGUUGGGAGCUAAAGUCACAAGGGCUUGUGGAGAGAAGGACACCCCCCCCCAGGCUGUCUCCCCAAAAACCAGUUACUAUAGCCUAAGAGGGCACAAUUGUGACUGCAUCAACCAACCGCAGAACAGCACAAACAGUGCUGUGUAACUUUUAAGACUAAGUUAGAGAGACAGUAUCAUUCCAGCUUGCACUGGGUUGAAGAGUGCUGCACAA
This is a long non-coding RNA of Mustela erminea (ermine), 573 nucleotides long. RefSeq lists it as uncharacterized. The transcript has 3 exons. The record is from RefSeq and is a predicted model, not a curated record. Lineage: Eukaryota; Metazoa; Chordata; Mammalia; Carnivora; Mustelidae.